AAUAAUCGACGCGCCAUAUUGCUUAUCGCAUCAACUAGGCAUCAUAUUGCAUCGAUUCCGCAUUGACUUACUGUAAUUCCACCUCCAAAAUUUGGUUAAGGUAUAAUCCUUUUUUUCUAUAUUUUCUACAGCUCUUCUCCGCAUGUUCCUUGACUUAAUAAAAGUGUAUCUCCUUAUCACGAUAGUUAAGUCCACAACAUCAAUCACAGCUUGCUUCAUAAUA
Molecule: long non-coding RNA, 223 nt
Filed under: Capsicum annuum
Lineage: Eukaryota; Viridiplantae; Streptophyta; Magnoliopsida; Solanales; Solanaceae
Description: long non-coding RNA (CANN_LNC007966)
Source: RNAcentral